Coccinella septempunctata (seven-spotted ladybird) is the source of this 375-nucleotide long non-coding RNA. RefSeq lists it as uncharacterized. NCBI's taxonomy places the organism in Eukaryota, Metazoa, Arthropoda, Insecta, Coleoptera, Coccinellidae. The transcript is spliced from 2 exons. The record is from RefSeq and is a predicted model, not a curated record.
AUUUGUUGAACUCUACUUUGAUUGAUUAGUUAUAAUUAUUGCAAGAAUGAGGUUCGCAAUGAUAUUUAUUUGCACCCUGGUGAUUCUUCAGGUGUUUUGGUUGGCCCUAGUGGAGGGAAGAAUCAAAUCGAUAAAACCCCUUCGUGAUUGUUCAGAUUUUCAUAAGAAGUGGUGGUGUCGAAGAAACACCGAUACUAUAAUAUGAAAAAUGAGGGAUGGCGAUCACGUAUCAAACCGCCCUGAUGGAUUUUCGAUCAACAUAUUUUUCCUAGAAUUUCUUUAAUUUAAUUUUCAGUAUAUAUUAUCAGAAUGGAAUUUAUCUAGCUAUAUUAGCAAGUAGAUCCCAAUAAUAAAGUAUAUCGAGUAUAAAUGUGA